AAAACUCAAAUGAAUUGACGGGGGCCCGCACAAGCGGUGGAGCAUGUGGUUUAAUUCGAUGCAACGCGAAGAACCUUACCUGGUCUUGACAUCCACGGAAGUUUUCAGAGAUGAGAAUGUGCCUUCGGGAACCGUGAGACAGGUGCUGCAUGGCUGUCGUCAGCUCGUGUUGUGAAAUGUUGGGUUAAGUCCCGCAACGAGCGCAACCCUUAUCCUUUGUUGCCAGCGG
RNAcentral lists this ribosomal RNA (229 nucleotides) under Escherichia coli. RNAcentral's name for it is "partial 16S ribosomal RNA". It matches the Rfam family "Bacterial small subunit ribosomal RNA", at positions 896 to 1124 of the family's 1533-position model. The record is from RNAcentral. Lineage: Bacteria; Pseudomonadati; Pseudomonadota; Gammaproteobacteria; Enterobacterales; Enterobacteriaceae.